This 253-nucleotide ribosomal RNA is filed under the name uncultured bacterium. RNAcentral's name for it is "partial 16S ribosomal RNA". It matches the Rfam family "Bacterial small subunit ribosomal RNA", at positions 524 to 776 of the family's 1533-position model. The record is from RNAcentral.
UACGGAGGGUGCGAGCGUUGUCCGGAAUCACUGGGCGUAAAGGGUGCGUAGGCGGUCUGACAAGUCUGAUGUGAAAUCUAUGGGCUCAACCCAUAGUCUGCAUCGGAAACUGUCGGGCUUGAGUAUGGGAGAGGUGAGUGGAAUUUCCGGUGUAGCGGUGAAAUGCGUAGAUAUCGGAAGGAACACCUGUGGCGAAAGCGGCUCACUGGACCAUUACUGACGCUGAGGCACGAAAGCUAGGGGAGCAAACAGG